This 459-nucleotide ribosomal RNA is filed under the name uncultured bacterium. Its description in RNAcentral is "partial 16S ribosomal RNA". It matches the Rfam family "Bacterial small subunit ribosomal RNA", at positions 338 to 795 of the family's 1533-position model. The record is from RNAcentral.
CCUACGGGUGGCUGCAGUGAGGAAUUUUGGUCAAUGGGCGCGAGCCUGAACCAGCCAAGUAGCGUGAAGGAUGACUGCCCUACGGGUUGUAAACUUCUUUUAUAAAGGAAUAAAGUGAGGAACGUGUGCCUUUUUUUAUGUACUUUAUGAAUAAGGAUAGGCUAACUCCGUUCCAGCAGCCGCGGUAAUACGGAGGAUCCGAGCGUUAUCCGGAUUUAUUGGGGUUAAAGGGAGCGUAGAUGGGUUGUUAAGUCAGUUGUGAAAGUUUGCGGCUCAACCGUAAAAUUGCAAUUGAUACUGGCAGCCUUGAGUACAGUUGAGGUAGGCGGAAUUCGUGGUGUAGCGGUGAAAUGCUUAGAUAUCACGAAGAACUCCGAGUGCGAAGGCAGCUUACUAAACUGCCACUGACAUUGAUGCUCGAAAGUGUGGGUAUCAAACAGGAUUAGAUACCUUGUAGUC